Molecule: long non-coding RNA, 1002 nt
Filed under: Medicago truncatula (barrel medic)
Lineage: Eukaryota; Viridiplantae; Streptophyta; Magnoliopsida; Fabales; Fabaceae
Description: long non-coding RNA (MTRU_LNC008760)
Source: RNAcentral
AGGAUUUCAAUUGCAAAAUUAAUCUAACUUCAUAAAUUUUAAUCUCUGUACAAGAGGAGCUCCCUGUCAACCCUACUGCCUGCGCUGCACCAGUAACGAGAAUCCGCUUAGCACAUCAUGGUAGCAUGUUCAUUUGCAGCUGACACAGAAUCUGCUUGGCAUAUCAUGGUAGUGCGUCCAUUUGCGCUGCACCAGCAACACAGAAUCCGCUUGACACAUCAUGGUAACGUGUCCAGUUGUAGCUGGCCAUGGCAGGAGACAGGUAUGUGGACUGUCCUUGACAGAUUUAUUGAUAUGAAGAUUAUUGCAAAUAUUUAUUAUUCAAAGUUGCAAAUACAAUAGAUCCAAACCAGCUAGUCAAAUGGUGUACAGAUAUGCGAAGUUUGUGGCGCUGCAGAAUUUACACUUAUGGAAGCAGUUGUUGAAGGUCUGCAGGAAUUGCAUCAGAGAGCUACGUCCUUUUUAGAACACCGGCAGCAAGUCAAUAACCAUAUAGCAGAGAAGCAGCCAGAAUGGUGAUGACAAAGACCACCGGUACGGAUGAUAAAAUGUAACAUUGAUUCAUCGUUCACGGACAACUAUGUUGGUGUAGGAAUGUGUCUAAGCGAUGAAGUAGGCAAUUUCCUGCAAGAUCGAACAGAUCACUAUUCUCCUCGCCUCCUUGUUCAUGAAGAGCACUUGGUUUGAUUGAAGCAAUCAAGUGGGUUAUAAGCUGGAGAUUGAUCAUAUAUUUUUUGAGUCGGAUUCUAAAUUGACGGUUGACAAUUUUAAUAAACCAAAUCGGGAUAUGUCCGAACUAGGUUAUAUUAUUGAUGAUUCAUGAUUGUAUAUGUUUUAUUUAAGUCCCUUUUUUGUCAAAACUCUGGUGGUGGAGUAUGUUAGGAGACAAACUAAUGUAGUGACUUAUAAGCUAGCUAGAGUAGCUACAUACAGUCAAGUCUCAAAACUUUGAUUUUAUCCCAUACUAUAUCUUGCUUGAUAAUGAUAAAAGAAAUUACUUAA